UUCUGUCCUAUCCUUAGGUGCUCCAAGUCAGAAGGAUGAAAAUUCCAAACAGGUGAAUCCAACUUCUCCUGUAUAUGAAAACACACUCCUUUCUGAACAGGCCAUGCCGAAGAGUUCUUCAGAGAUCAACAACACGUACGAGGAGUUGAGACACGGAAACCAGGCUGUGUAUGAUCAGCUGAAAUGGUCACCGAAGGGACCCUCCAACUCGAGUGGAAGUCGACACACCAGUCCAGUGGCCCUUCCGCGCUUUGACUCUAUCAUAGAAUCAUAGAGUUGGAAGGAGCCAAAGAGGCCUUCCAGUCCGACCCCUUGCUCAAUGCAGGAUCGACCUGAAGCAUCCCAGACAAGCGUUUGCCCAGCCGCUGCAUAAAGAUUGCCAGUGAGGGGGAGAUCACCACGCCCCUAGGCAGCUGGUUCCACCGUUACAGAACCCUGACUGUAAAAAAAUGUUUCCUAAUAUCCAGC
This is a long non-coding RNA of Sphaerodactylus townsendi, 468 nucleotides long. RefSeq lists it as uncharacterized. The record is from RefSeq and is a predicted model, not a curated record. Lineage: Eukaryota; Metazoa; Chordata; Lepidosauria; Squamata; Sphaerodactylidae. The transcript is spliced from 3 exons.